CGGACGGGUGAGUAACGCGUGAGGAACCUGCCUCAGAGUGGGGGGAUAACACACCGAAAGGUGUGCUAAUACCGCAUAACAUAUGGGAGGGGCAUCCCUUUCAUAUCAAAGAUUUAUUGCUCUGAGAUGGCCUCGCGUCCAAUUAGCUAGUUGGCGGGGUAACGGCCCACCAAGGCGACGAUUGGUAGCCGGACUGAGAGGUUGAACGGCCACAUUGGGACUGAGACACGGCCCAGACUCCUACGGGAGGCAGCAG
RNAcentral lists this ribosomal RNA (256 nucleotides) under uncultured bacterium. RNAcentral describes it as "partial 16S ribosomal RNA". It matches the Rfam family "Bacterial small subunit ribosomal RNA", at positions 99 to 354 of the family's 1533-position model. The record is from RNAcentral.